AUGGUGAACAGUGAUAACGUCGGCCUGCUGUGUUACGGUGAUGAGGAGUUCAUAGUGGCCGAGCUCUAUUCAUGGGGCGAGCUCUCCCUGCUGCACUAUGCGCCUGGGAAGGCCAUGGAAUGGGAAUUUAGAGCGUUGCAGAUGCCUUAUGGCAAGGACGUCCCUGACUUUCUGUAUGGUUCCUGGAAUACCGACUUCGUCAUCCCCUUUGGCAAUUCCUUGUGCUGGGUCGAUUGCUACCUCGGCUUGCUGUUUGUCAGCGUGCAUGGAGAUCUUACAAAGCCGCCCCGCUAUGUCUCAAUGCCAGCAGAUCUGGACACUCGUCGUCUCUAUAUUGACCCAGGGGUCCCUGAUCCAGCACGCCGUGUCUGUGUCACUGACAGCGGCAUGAUUAAGCUCAUUUGUAUCAGCGAUGCUGCAGGCCGCAGCGUGCAUAUACAUUCUUCUGAUUUCAAAAUCAGGACAUGGAAUCUGUCUGACGGGAUAUGGAAAAAAGAUGCCACCAUGGAAGCCCAUGAGCUCGAGAAUGUUUUUUCCUCUGACAAGCGCCUGCCUGCUCCUGCCAAAGUUUCCUAUCAUGAACUUGGUUGA
This 591-nucleotide ribosomal RNA is filed under the name Triticum aestivum (bread wheat). RNAcentral's name for it is "partial small subunit ribosomal RNA". The record is from RNAcentral. Lineage: Eukaryota; Viridiplantae; Streptophyta; Magnoliopsida; Poales; Poaceae.